ACCAACUGUAUAGAGACAGUUGGCUACCAACCUCUGACUGAAGUAAUGCAUGCAAGCUUUAAUAUUUGGUUUUCCUCCGAUUUAAGGCAAUUCACCUACUCUUUGCCUUUAGCCUAUCCUUGCCGCGCAUGCCUGCUCACUUCCCUCUAAUCUCUUCAAAAUAUCAAUUAAAACUAUCACCUUACUUGUUUUAUUGUCUGUUGCGACAUCUUUCUUCCCAGAUUAAUUGUCAUCCAGCUUUAUCCCAUCUAGCUCGAUCCAUUAAUCUUCUUGACCUAUAAUUAUUAAGCUCUCUCUAUCUGUAUCUCUCUCUUUCUCUCUCUGUUACACACACAGACAAUCAAACGCAGAAGAGAUGAAGAUGGACAUCUUUCCAUCUUGUGGAAGCAUCGAGAAAUACCAGAGCAGGAGAGGGUAUCAGAGGCUGAAGAGUAGUCAUGAGGUGAUCACCAAUGAGGAACAUAUGAAGAUUGCUGCAUCAGAGAUUAUAUCACUGCCAACGAACAUCACUUUUUCAAUCAAGUUCACGAAAAGAGUAAGAGAUUCUUAUGUGGAAAUGAUGCUUUGCUUUGCUGGACAUAUUGCGCAGUUGAAUAAUGGUAAUGUUUUCCUGUCUAAGAGGAUCCCAAGUGGUAAGAGUCCGAGUUCCUCUGUAGCAUGAGAUUGAAUCAAGAUAUCAAGAAAUAUAGAGCAAAAAUAUUUCAGAAGCUGUCAAAGAUGGAAUCAAAGUUAAUUAAACUCAUAUAGAAAGAAUUCCACUUGUAAAUUUAUUUUCCGUUGUGAUAUGUUGGAUGGUAUUGUGUAAAACUUAAAACAAUGUGUAAAACUUAAAACAAUGGUAGUGGUGAAUUGCAAAUAUGUAUUUUGAGGUUAUAUGAAUAAUAUUGGCAAGUAAAUAUAAAUUUCUCUAAA
This is a long non-coding RNA of Carya illinoinensis, 912 nucleotides long. RefSeq lists it as uncharacterized. The transcript is spliced from 2 exons. The record is from RefSeq and is a predicted model, not a curated record. Lineage: Eukaryota; Viridiplantae; Streptophyta; Magnoliopsida; Fagales; Juglandaceae.